AAUUCGACGCAACGCGAAGAACCUUACCAGGGCUUGACAUCCCCUGACCGUCUAUGAAAGUAGGCUUCACUUCGGGUAGACAGGGAGACAGGUGGUGCAUGGUUGUCGUCAGCUCGUGUCGUGAGAUGUUGGGUUAAGUCCCGCAACGAGCGCAACCCUUACGGUUAGUUGCCAGCGGGUUAUGCCGGGCACUCUAGCUGAACUGCCGUUGACAAAACGGAGGAAGUGGGAUGACGUCAAAUCAUCAUGCCCUUUAUGUCCUGGGCUACACACGUGCUACAAUGGCCUGUACAGAGGGAAGCGAAAGGGUGACCUGGAGCGAAUCCCAAAAAGCAGGUCUCAGUUCGGAUUGCAGGCUGCAACCCGCCUGCAUGAAGAUGGAGUUGCUAGUAACCGCAGGUCAGCUAUACUGCGGUGAAUACGUUCCCGGGGCUU
RNAcentral lists this ribosomal RNA (435 nucleotides) under uncultured Desulfotomaculum sp. RNAcentral's name for it is "bacterial SSU rRNA". It matches the Rfam family "Bacterial small subunit ribosomal RNA", at positions 948 to 1382 of the family's 1533-position model. The record is from RNAcentral. Lineage: Bacteria; Bacillati; Bacillota; Clostridia; Eubacteriales; Desulfotomaculaceae.